AGAGUUUGAUCCUGGCUCAGGAUGAACGCUGGCGGCGUGCCUAACACAUGCAAGUCGAGCGAUUCUCUUCGGAGAAAAUCGGCGGACGGGUGAUUAACGCGUGGGUAACCUGACCUGUGCACACCGAUAGCAUACCCAGAGGUAUGCUAGUACGAGAAUAACAUAAGAAAUUCGCAUGUUAUUUCUUAUCAAAGCUCCGGCGGUACAGGAUGGACCCGCGUCUGAUUAUAUAGUUGGUGAGGUAACGGCUCCCCAAGGCGACGAUCAGUAGCCGACCUGAGAGGGUGAUCAGCCACAUUGGAACUGAGACGCGGUCCAAUCUCCUGCGGGAGGCCGCAGUGGGGAAUAUUGCACAAUGGGCGAAAGCCUGAUGCAGCAACGCCGCGUGAGCGAUGAAGGCCUUCGGGUUGUAAAGCUCUGAUCCUCAAGGAAGAUAAUGACGGUACUUGAGGAGGAAGCCCCGGCUAACUACCUGCCCUCAGCCGCGGUAAUAUGUAGGGGGCUAGCGUUAUCCGGAUUUACUGGGUGUAAAGGGUGCGUAGGCGGUCUUUUAUGUCAGGAGUGAAAGGUUGCGUCUCAACCGUAGUAAGUUCUUGAAAUUGGAGGAUUUGAGUUCAGGAGAGGAGAGUGGAAUUCUUAGUGUAGCGGUGAAAUGGGUAGAUAUUAGGAGGAACCCCAGUAGGGAAGGGGGCUCUUUGGACUGUAACUGACGUUGAGGCAGGAAAGCGUGGGGAGCAACCAGGAUUAGAUCCCUGGGUAUUCCACCCCGUAAACGAUGAGUAUAGGCUGUUGGGAGGCUACCCCCUUCGGUGGCGCAGCUAACGCAUUAAGUACUCCGCCUGGGGAGUACGCUCGCAAGAGUGAAACUCAAAGGAAUUGACGGGGACCCGCACAAGUAGGCGGAGCAUGUGGUUUAAUUCGAAGCAACGCGAAGAACCUUACCUAAUCUUGAUAUCCUUAUGACCGAUGCGUAAUGGCAUUUUUCCUUUCGGGGACAGAAGUCACAGGUGGUGCAUGGUUGUUGUCAGCUCGUGUCGAGAGAUGUUGGGUUAAGUCCCGCAACGAGCGCCCCCCUUGCCUUUAGUCGCCAUCAUUAAGUUGGGCACUCUAGAGGGACUCCCAGGGAUAACCUGGAGGAAGGUGGGGAUGACGUCAAAUCAUCAUGCCCCUUAUGAUUAGGGCUACACACGUGCUACAAUGGGUGGUACAGAGGGCAGCGAAGUCGUGAGGCCAAGCUAAUCCCUUAAAGCCAUUCUCAGUUCGGAUUGUAGUCUGAAACUCGCCUACAUGAAGCUGGAGUUACUAGUAAUCGCAGAUCAGAAUGCUGCGGUGAAUGCGUUCCCGGGUCUUGCACACACCGCCCGUCA
RNAcentral lists this ribosomal RNA (1367 nucleotides) under uncultured bacterium. Its description in RNAcentral is "bacterial SSU rRNA". It matches the Rfam family "Bacterial small subunit ribosomal RNA". The record is from RNAcentral.